RNAcentral lists this long non-coding RNA (2505 nucleotides) under Homo sapiens (human). RNAcentral describes it as "HSALNT0344141". The record is from RNAcentral. Lineage: Eukaryota; Metazoa; Chordata; Mammalia; Primates; Hominidae.
CACAAAGCCUGAUGACAUCACACAGGGCGUCACAGCCCCACAGGGGCCCCUGCCUGUAAGCUCCAACCAGCAGGUGGAAUCCAGGAGUUCCAAGGUCCUAAGGGUCCUUACCCCUCAGCUGAGAAAAUAGGGAAAGCCUCAUAUUAGGUGAGGCUAGAAUCCAGGGUGACUCUCUUCUCUAGGCAAGGCCUAAUUUUUAGCUUUUUAUAUUUAUUUAUUUAUUUAUUUAUUUAUUUAUUUAUUUAUUUAUUUAUUUAUUUUUGAGAUGGAGUCUCGCUCUGUCCCCCAGGAUGGAGUGCAGUGGUGCAAUCUCUGCAAUCUCUGCGAUCUCCGCUCACUGCAAGCUCCGCCUCCCGGGUUCACGCCAUUCUCCUGUCUCAGCCUCCGGAGUAGCUGGGACUACAGGCGCCCACCACCACGCCCGGCUAAUUUUUUGUAUUUUUAAUAGAGAUGGGGUUUCACCGUGUUAGCCAGGAUGGUCUCCAUCUCCGGACCUCGUGAUCGGCCCGACUCGGCCUCCCAAAGUGCUGGGAUUACAGGCGUGAGCCACCGCGCCCGGCUAAUUUUUAGCAUUUUUGAAAUAAACUUAAGAAAAAGAACAAGCUUUCAGAAAACAUGAAGAAACUUAAAGAUGAGCCAAAGGGUUAUUUGAUUGCCUUUUAAUUCUUUACUCUACGUUACUCAACAUUUAGAUGUCAGUACACAAGUUCAGCCAAAUGCUUGUGAAAUUUCUUCUGAACGCAUCCCAGGAGACUUGACCCUCCCCGCUUCAGGAUGCUGACUCUGUUUUGCCUGAAACCAGACAAGCUCUGCUUCAGGGUCUGUGAGUGGAAGGGGGUGGGUGGGAACCUCUCGCAACCUCUCCUGGGACAGACACAAUGGGCAAUCGUGACCUCCUGGGGUAGAUACUGAAACUGUGACAAGUGAUAACAAAACUGGCAGAAAUCAGUUGGACCCAAUAUGGCCAACUGGAGUUUCUGCAGAAAGAGCUUGCUGAUAUCACAGCCUGAAUUUCCACGCAUGUUUCGUAUUAACUGCCCCGGAAUUUGAUUUGCACACAGCACCCAUGAGGAAGCAUGAAGAGAUAACUGCGCAUGUCUGAGGACUUGCCAGACCUCCUCUUUCCUUCCACCGAUCUCCUGCUAAUCCCGGAACCCACCCUCUAACCCUUUUCUAAUAAAAUUAUUUCCUUAAAGGCAGCACAGCGAGACAGAUUUGAGCUGGACUCCUGUCUCCGUGUUGGUCAAUUUGCAAUGAAAAGCUUUUCUUUUCUCUGAAACCCAGUGUCUUAGUAUUUAUUGGCUUCUAGCGCACGGGUCAGUGACCUCUUUUGCUCGGUAACAACAUAAUGGGCUAUAAUGACCUCCUGGGGCAGACGGACGGGCAUUAAUGACGUCCAAGCCAAACUCAUGAGUCUCCUUUCUGCAGGCUCGAUGGGAAGGUCCUUCUUGCCCAUUAAUAAUAUAAAAGAGCCGCAAAGGGCAACAACUUGUCCUUUAUCUUAGAAUCGCUGUCUUGGCAUGCCACAGACUACAGGACUUCUAAAAGCUUCAGUGUUGAAGCUCCUGAAUCUUCAUAGGGUGUAUCUCCCAUCUGGUGCACAUGUGUCUUCCUGAGUGUCUUCCUACGGCACCAGGUCUAACUGAUAUGACAACAUCAAUAUGGCGGAACAGCAUGAUGUGUGUGGAAGGUCUGGAUGAGCACUGUACCUGCAGAUCACAUGUGACAGAGAGAAGAAGGUUACACAGCCUGGGGAAGUCUAGUGGAUUGUGCCAUCCCGACCACGUAAGGGCAGACUGUUUUAUUGAUGGGGAUAAAGAAGAAUGAAUUUUCCAGAAUAAGUGCUCCAUACCAAGUGCCAAAGCCCACUGAAGACAGCACAUCUACUACUGGGGCUACCACUUGAUUAAGUUUAAGACAGUUACUGUCAUUUGCUACGGUCCAGUUGAUUUUGAUAGGGGCCCUACAGGGAUGGUGAAUGGGGAUAUGACGGGACCACUACUCCUGCAUCUUUUAAGUCUUUGAUGGUGUUGAUCUCUGCAACUGUUCCUGGAAUGUGGUGGUUUUUGCUUCUGAUUUACUGUCUUGGAAGGGUGUGCAAGGAGUGGGGAUGGGAAGUUUCAGGGGCUUCCUCUUGGCUGACUCUUCUGUAAUGAUCCUUCUUACACAGGUGAGCAAAAGUGACCUGCACCACUGCCAGGCCUGACCCAAAAGCCUCCCCAGAGGUUCCUUCUAUGUUCUUCCUGGGGUGAUGACAAUCAACACAACAUUGGAAACCACGUGUUCAAGAUGGCAGAGCCACCAUCAGCCUGGUUCCUGAAUGACCACGUGGAGCAACAUGGAAUAUCCAAGUGAGCAAGAAAUAGAGUCUUAUCUUCUUGCUUCAUUAUAUUUCGGAUAUUCUUGAAAAGGGGUUCAGCCUACCCCAAAUACAAGAGACAUGAAAGAAAAGGAUAAAGAUGAAAAAUAAGUGAAUGGUGUCAAGUGAAAUAAACAAUGUAACAC